GCGCGNGGCAACCUGGCGGCGAGUGGCGAACGGGUGAGUAAUAUAUCGGAACGUACCCUGGAGUGGGGGAUAACGUAGCGAAAGUUACGCUAAUACCGCAUACGAUCUAAGGAUGAAAGUGGGGGAUUCGCAAGAACCUCAUGCUCCUGGAGCGGCCGAUAUCUGAUUAGCUAGUUGGUGGGGUAAAGGCCUACCAAGGCAUCGAUCAGUAGCUGGUCUGAGAGGACGACCAGCCACACUGGAACUGAGACACGGUCCAGACUCCUACGGGAGGCAGCAGUGGGGAAUUUUGGACAAUGGGCGAAAGCCUGAUCCAGCAAUGCCGCGUGAGUGAAGAAGGCCUUCGGGUUGUAAAGCUCUUUUGUCAGGGAAGAAACGGUGGNGGCUAAUAUCCYUUGCUAAUGACGGUACCUGAAGAAUAAGCACCGGCUAACUACGUGCCAGCAGCCGCGGUAAUACGUAGGGUGCAAGCGUUAAUCGGAAUUACUGGGCGUAAAGCGUGCGCAGGCGGUUUUGUAAGUCUGUCGUGAAAUCCCCGGGCUCAACCUGGGAAUUGCGAUGGAGACUGCAAGGCUAGAAUCUGGCAGAGGGGGGUAGAAUUCCACGUGUAGCAGUGAAAUGCGUAGAGAUGUGGAGGAACACCGAUGGCGAAGGCAGCCCCCUGGGUCAAGAUUGACGCUCAUGCACGAAAGCGUGGGGAGCAAACAGGAUUAGAUACCCUGGUAGUCCACGCCCUAAACGAUGUCUACUAGUUGUCGGGUUUUAAUUAACUUGGUAACGCAGCUAACGCGUGAAGUAGACCGCCUGGGG
Molecule: ribosomal RNA, 810 nt
Filed under: Massilia sp.
Lineage: Bacteria; Pseudomonadati; Pseudomonadota; Betaproteobacteria; Burkholderiales; Oxalobacteraceae
Description: bacterial SSU rRNA
Rfam family: Bacterial small subunit ribosomal RNA
Source: RNAcentral